Ananas comosus (pineapple) is the source of this 620-nucleotide long non-coding RNA. RefSeq lists it as uncharacterized. The transcript has 3 exons. The record is from RefSeq and is a predicted model, not a curated record. Lineage: Eukaryota; Viridiplantae; Streptophyta; Magnoliopsida; Poales; Bromeliaceae.
AAAUAUCCUCUCCACUUCAUUCUCUUUUCAUUUCUUUUCUUUUUUUCUCUACAAGCCUAGGGUGGCUGAAGUUGGUGAAGAGGGUUUGUGUGGAGUUCGGUUUUCUUAGUGAUUUCAGCUGAGAGGAAGGUCCAGGAGCUGAGAACAGCUCGUGGGAAGCUUCCAAGUUGAGGAUUGGGAGCCUAGCUUGGAAUUGAUCACAUAUAAACUUAAUUGAGGGUAAAACCGACUUGUUGGGAAGCUCGGAUCGGUGUUUCUACGAGCCUACGGCAAGCUAUUGAGGAAAAACCUUAUUUUAGCUUCGUUUGUCGCAAGCGAGAAUUGCGAUUGUUCCUAAAUCCCGGAAAGUGGAUUUCUCGCAUCCCGGUAUCAAUUAAAGGUUCCCACGUGAGCGGAGCGGCGGCGCGAGGAAAGGGCGUAGUUCCGUAGAUAGCGCCCUACCACCGAGACCAGAGAUAGCGGUACCCUAAAGUGGUCUAGCUAAGGGUAUAAAAUGAAAGAAACAAACUUAUAAUAAUUUGUAUAACUUAGUGGUACUUGAAAAAUGUAAUAUUGUAAUAUGUAUAAGUUGUAAGAUGAAUGCUUGUAAUAGCAUCGUUUAGCAUUUUAUGUUUUUGAUA